GAUGAACGCUGGCGGCGUGCCUAAUACAUGCAAGUCGAGCGAACAGACUAGGAGCUUGCUCCUCUGACGUUAGCGGCGGACUGGUGAGUAACACGUUGAUAACCUACCUAUAAGACUGGGAUAACUUCGGGAAACCGGAGCUAAUACCGUAUAAUAUAUUGAACCGCAUGGUUCAAUAGUGAAAGACUGUUUUGCUGUCACUUAUAGAUGGAUCCGCGCCGCAUUAUCUAGUUGGUAAGGUAACGGCUUACCAAGGCAACGAUGCGUAGCCGACCUGAGAGGGUGAUCGGCAACACUGGAACUGAGACACGGUCCAGACUCCUACGGGAGGCAGCAGUAGGGAAUCUUCCGCAAUGGGCGAAAGCCUGACGGAGAAACGCCGCGUGAGGGAUGAAGGUCUUCGGAUCGUAAAACUCUGUGAUUAGGGAAGAACAAAUGUGUAAGUAACUAUGCACGUCUUGACGGUACCUAAUCAGAAAGCCACGGCUAACUACGUG
This 497-nucleotide ribosomal RNA is filed under the name uncultured bacterium. RNAcentral describes it as "partial 16S ribosomal RNA". It matches the Rfam family "Bacterial small subunit ribosomal RNA", at positions 28 to 507 of the family's 1533-position model. The record is from RNAcentral.